GGAAGCGAUCAUACCAGCACUAAAGCACCGGAUCCCUUCAGAACUCUGAAGUUAAGCGUGCUUGGGCGAGAGUAGUACAAGGAUGGGUGACCUCCUGGGAAGUCCUCGUGUUGCAUUCC
RNAcentral lists this ribosomal RNA (119 nucleotides) under Aegilops tauschii subsp. strangulata. Lineage: Eukaryota; Viridiplantae; Streptophyta; Magnoliopsida; Poales; Poaceae. The record is from RNAcentral.